Molecule: ribosomal RNA, 479 nt
Filed under: uncultured bacterium
Lineage: Bacteria
Description: partial 16S ribosomal RNA
Rfam family: Bacterial small subunit ribosomal RNA
Source: RNAcentral
GAUGAACGCUAGCGGGAGGCCUAACACAUGCAAGCCGAGCGGUAUUGUUUCUUCGGUAAUGAGAGAGCGGCGUACGGGUGCGUAACACGUGUGCAACCUGCCUUUAUCUGGGGGAUAGCCUUUCGAAAGGAAGAUUAAUACUCCAUAAUAUAUUGAACGGCAUCGUUUAAUAUUGAAAGCUCCGGCGGGUAGUGAUGGCCACGCGCAAGGUUAGCUAGUUGGUGAGGUAACUGCUCAACAAGGCGAUGAUCUUUAGGGGGCCUGGGAGGGUGAUCCACUAGACGGGUACUGAGAUACGGACCAGACUCCUACGGGAGGCAGCAGUGAGGAAUAUUGGUCAAUGGGUGCAAGCCUGAACCAGCCAUCCCGCGUGAAGGACGACUGCGCUAUGGGUUGUAAACUUCUUGUGUAGAGGGAUAAACCUAGCCUCGUGAGGGUAGCUGAAGGUACUAUACGAAUAAGCACCGGCUAACUACGUG